RNAcentral lists this ribosomal RNA (452 nucleotides) under uncultured organism. Its description in RNAcentral is "partial 16S ribosomal RNA". It matches the Rfam family "Bacterial small subunit ribosomal RNA", at positions 330 to 798 of the family's 1533-position model. The record is from RNAcentral.
CGUACACUCCUGCGGGAGGCAGCAGUGGGGAAUAUUGGACAAUGGGCGCAAGCCUGAUCCAGCCAUGCCGCGUGAGUGAUGAAGGCCCUAGGGUUGUAAAGCUCUUUCACCGGUGAAGAUAAUGACGGUAACCGGAGAAGAAGCCCCGGCUAACUUCGUGCCAGCAGCCGCGGUAAUACGAAGGGGGCUAGCGUUGUUCGGAUUUACUGGGCGUAAAGCGCACGUAGGCGGACUAUUAAGUCAGGGGUGAAAUCCCGGGGCUCAACCCCGGAACUGCCUUUGAUACUGGUAGUCUUGAGUUCGAGAGAGGUGAGUGGAAUUCCGAGUGUAGAGGUGAAAUUCGUAGAUAUUCGGAGGAACACCAGUGGCGAAGGCGGCUCACUGGCUCGAUACUGACGCUGAGGUGCGAAAGCGUGGGGAGCAAACAGGAUUAGAUACCCUUGUAGUCCCAU